RNAcentral lists this ribosomal RNA (467 nucleotides) under uncultured bacterium. Its description in RNAcentral is "partial 16S ribosomal RNA". It matches the Rfam family "Bacterial small subunit ribosomal RNA", at positions 28 to 507 of the family's 1533-position model. The record is from RNAcentral.
GACGAACGCUGGCGGCGUGCUUAACACAUGCAAGUCGAACGGAAAGGCCUCUUUCGGGGGGUACUCGAGUGGCGAACGGGUGAGUAACACGUGAGUAACCUGCCCUUGACUUUGGGAUAACUUCAGGAAACUGGGGCUAAUACCGGAUAGGAGCUCCUGCUGCAUGGUGGGGGUUGGAAAGUUUCGGCGGUUGGGGAUGGACUCGCGGCUUAUCAGCUUGUUGGUGGGGUAGUGGCUUACCAAGGCUUUGACGGGUAGCCGGCCUGAGAGGGUGACCGGCCACAUUGGGACUGAGAUACGGCCCAGACUCCUACGGGAGGCAGCAGUGGGGAAUAUUGCACAAUGGGUGGAAGCCUGAUGCAGUAACGCCGUGUGCGGGAUGACGGCCUUCGGGUUGUAAACCGCUUUCGCUCAUGACGAAGCUUUGUGUGACGGUAGUGGGUAAAGAAGCACCGGCUAACUACGUG